GAAAAGGCAAUUUGAUUAAAUAAAGCUACCUGCCAAUCAUGCUGAAAGUUAUAAAAGGAAAGCAUUUUGUAGCUAAGUAAAACUUUUCUCCAUAUUCUCUCUUUCUCUCUUUCGCGAUCCUUAAAAAGAGAAGCAAUGGGAAACUAUGUGCCCCAAAGGAAGAUCAGGGCAAUAUGUGGACACCUGACAAAGGAGUUAAAAGUUACUCUUCAUCCCAGUGAUUCACCAUGAAGCAAAGAUGACAUGAUGGAGGAAUCAAGGGACAAAGGAAAAGCAGCAGGCAACGAGGCAUACACACUAAUCCAGGAACCCAAGCUGCAGUGGGUAUAUUCAGGUAUCCCUUGCUCCAUGUAUUUCUGUAUUUAUUUUCUGUUUUUCAGGAGGCAUGUUUUGUGGGGUAAAAGUGGAGAAGGGAAGGGCCAGCAGAGGUGAAACACAAGGAAAAAUGAGGCUGCAGGUGAUGAACCUGACAAAAUCAGGGAUGGGAUGGUAGGAGAGCACUAGAAGGGCUGCAGCAAGAAAGAGAGAGAAAAGCAGAAGAGGUGGUGGAUGGCAUGGGCUGGAGGGCAAAGGACAAGACAGGGAAAGAGAAAUCAGAAAUCAUCUUGUGCAUAGGGCUUGAGGUGCCCAAGGAUCCCUGGAGAGCGGGCAGGGAUGUAGGACUGCAGAUGUGCUCAGCAGGGUUUGUGCUACGGGGCUCCCUCCACACCACCCACAGGGCCCCCACUACCAAAGCAGCAGACACAUAUUCUCCUGCAGCAGCAAAUGAGGCCACGCAUUACUCAGCGGCACGUCAACAACGGUGGGGUUAAUUUUUUGUGCUAUUUAAUUUCACUGACUCUGUGGGCUGGGAAGAGGGCAAGAGUUGUGUAACACAGUGUGAUUCCAUCUCUGAACAUCAUCGUGUCUGGUGGCCAAAGACAGGAACGGGGCCUGGCAGCUCACUCUCCUUGGCUUUGGGAGGCAGUAGCUUCUCAGGACAUCACAUACUUAAUUAACUGAGCUAAGGAAUUGUGGGAUCAGAUUCAUGCAGCUGCUUCUCUGCUGGAAACCAAGAGUGUCAGCCUGGAUCGCUCUGUUCUGGGCUUCAGAGCUGGAAGUUUGGUUCCUGACUCCUGGCUACGCAGCAUCAGUCACAUGAGGCUGCUGUGGGUGCCGCGGGGCUCCUCACAUUAGGACACUUGCUGAGGAGCAGUAUCAGCCAACCACUCUUAGACAGCAAUGAAACCUAUGGGAAGGGCUCAGGGAGAGGUUUCUUUCUCUCAAAAACAAAGCCUGAAAAAUUUAAGUACUUCAGAGGAGGAAAGGCAUCCCCCCUCGAGUGACCGUGUGUCUCCUGCCCUCGGUGCUGAACCACUGGCUGACCGGAGCUAUGCUGGGAUUACUGAGCUUUGGGAUGCGACGUUCAACAUGCCAGCUGCAGUUUGAUGGGUGGGGAGAAGAAGCAGACCUCCAUCCUGACAAACUCAGGUUCCUCAUUUCUUUUUCCCUUGGUCUCCACGUGCAGUCACUCUGCAGCAGGUCACUUUUUUGACAUAUAUAACUCAUCCUGCUUUACUGAGACUGCACACAGUAAAGCACACAACUCACAGGGAAAGGAUUUUUAACCAAACUGGAGAUGGGCAGCAUAGCAUAAGCACGAGUCCAGGUACCCACAGGGAUUUCUGGUCUUUCAAACAGUAAUGCUGAAAGAAGUCCUGCUGGAAAGCAUCAUGCUUGUCUAUAAUCAUUUGCAAGAUCAAAACCUUAUUUUGUGGCAGAGGAAAAGCCCAGGGUUUUUUAGAUGUUUCUUUCAUGUAAGUCUACAGAAACUGCUGUUGCUUACAGUGAUUUCAAGUAUUAAAGAGUUUGUGUCUCAUAUUACAUUUAUUGUAUAAGUUAUAGGGGAAAUGCGGAUUUCACAUGAGAAGCCACAUGAAUUUUUGUCGUAAGUCCAGCAGUUAAAAACUGUACAGACAAGAGUGAUUAAAUUUAUUUCUAAGGCUGCAUUCUGCAAUGUUCUGGGGUUACCAAUCAGACCUUUUUCUCACUCUUUGCUGUACUAGGCCUCCUCCUGAACUAUGUCAAGGCAGGUGGCACGUUUGGGCUGUCUGCCUCAUCUCCCUAGGGAACCUCAGGACAGAAAGUCCCCUCCAUCCCCCUCAAACUUCAGCCAUUAUAAAUGGCACAAAAAUUGAUAAUCGAACAAGUACAAAAGGGUAACUUGCUCAUCCUUUGUCUGCAUCAUGCUAUGAAAUACUUUUACGAGAUUAUUUGUGCUGAUUUGUCUGCUUUGCUUUGAUAGUAGGAAAGCUGAUGGUGAAUGCACAGGAUUUUCACCACAAUUGCACUAAAUUAUAAUACAAUCAAAUACAUAGUAAGUCCUCAUGCUUAUCAGGAAACAGAUCAGUUCUGUUUUAAUUUAGUGUACCUGAUCUAUUGCACCUCCUGGGCUGUAUCUCUGAAGAAAUAUGUCAAGACAUUCCUUCUCUGUACCUACAAUUGCUUACAGUUUAUACCAUGAAAGGGGGAAUCAGCACAAAUGAAUCCUGACAAAAUAUCUUACAAAACUAAUAAAAAUCAGCAUGUAGAAAUGCCAGCUGUAAUUGGACUAUUUUGCCAUAAAAAGUCUGUGGGCCAAUCAAA
Long non-coding RNA from Columba livia (rock pigeon), 2625 nucleotides. RefSeq lists it as uncharacterized. Lineage: Eukaryota; Metazoa; Chordata; Aves; Columbiformes; Columbidae. The transcript has 2 exons. The record is from RefSeq and is a predicted model, not a curated record.